Molecule: long non-coding RNA, 968 nt
Filed under: Coffea arabica (coffee)
Lineage: Eukaryota; Viridiplantae; Streptophyta; Magnoliopsida; Gentianales; Rubiaceae
Description: long non-coding RNA (CARA_LNC001473)
Source: RNAcentral
AGUGACGUACAUGAUACUACAUCGGAAGUUCACUGGGUUUAGUUUGGCCAAGUGAGAAAAGGGAUAAUAAUAAAAAAAAAAAAGAAAGAAAAGAAUGGAGGGGAAGAACAACAGCAAUAACAGCGAUGGAGUGAAGAGAAAUGUAGGGGGAUGUGAUGUGGAGGCCCUGAAGAAAUGCUUGGCGGAGCAUAAAGAAGAUUACCACCUCAAGUGCCAACCCCAAAUUGAAGCUUUCAGAGGCUGUUCUUUGCACAAGUUCACCCCUUCCUACUCCUUGUCACCCCGUCCCCGCCCUAAUUCCAACUCCACCGCUACUUCUCUCGUCACUGAGCUCUGAUCUCUGCCUUUUUCUUGUAAUCCUGACUUGUUAAGAUUCUGCUCUAUAUACAAAUGUGAAAUGUGCUGGUCAUAUAUGUAAUAUGUACUGCAGAUAAAUUUGCACCAAUAUGUCAUCUCGAUUGAUUGUCGAAAACAGGACUAGCCUUUUAAAGUCUUUUUUCCUAUUGAUCAACCAUUGUUACCGGAAAAAGAAAAAAGAUUUCUGGGCACUUGGAAAAUACAAUGUACGCACUUCAUAAUUGUUAAGGAAAGGCGAUUGUUUAAUGGGGAUGUUGUGGAAUAGUAAAUUACUCAUUCCUUCCAGAUGUUGUUGAUGAUUCAUUGUAUGUUGCCCUAGCAUCAGGCGUUAAACUAGUUUUCUUGAGCAAUUAUAGCUGCAUUUUUUCAGGGACGCAAGCUUGGUCUAAGUUUCUGGAACUGGGAUCGGUCUUUAAUGACCGUAUACAUGUAUACAGAAACGUGUGUGAGUCAGGGAGUGACUACUUCGAGGUCUAGAGAAUGCAAUGCUUAAUGAUCUGAUAAUAGAAUGCAAUGUUUUGGGAGAUCAUCUGUGAAUUUGGUACGAUGUUGCUGCUAGCUUAUGUGAUUGUAUGGUCCCCUCCAGAGGAUCCAAUCAAAAUCAGGGAUGU